RNAcentral lists this non-coding RNA (32 nucleotides) under Mus musculus (house mouse). The record is from RNAcentral. Lineage: Eukaryota; Metazoa; Chordata; Mammalia; Rodentia; Muridae.
UGUGACUCCCUGGUGCUUCCUCGCUGUCCCCA